CUACGGGACGCACCAGUAGGGAAUCUUGCGCAAUGGACGAAAGUCUGACGCAGCAACUCCGCGUGGAGGAUGACGGUCUUCGGAUUGUAAACUCCUUUUAUUUGGGAAGAACAAAUCUAUGGUAACAUAGGUCUUGACGGUACCAUUUGAAUAAGCCACGGCUAAAUACGUGCCAGCAGCCGCGGUAAUACGUAUGUGGCGAGCGUUACUCGGAAUCACUGGGCGUAAAGAGUUCGUAGGCGGACUUUCAAGUCAGAAGUGAAAUUUUGGGGCUUAACCCUGAAACUGCUUUUGAAACUGUUAGUCUUGAGUAUGUGAGAGGAAGGUGGAAUUCCUGGUGUAGCGGUGGAAUGCGUAGAUAUCAGGAAGAACACCGAUGGCGAAGGCAGUCUUCUGGCACAAUACUGACGCUGAGGAACGAAAGCGUGGGGAGCGAACAGGAUUAGAUACCCCUGUAGUC
This 460-nucleotide ribosomal RNA is filed under the name uncultured bacterium. Its description in RNAcentral is "partial 16S ribosomal RNA". It matches the Rfam family "Bacterial small subunit ribosomal RNA", at positions 339 to 795 of the family's 1533-position model. The record is from RNAcentral.